CAGCAGCCGCGGGAAUACGAAGGGUGCGAGCGUUAAUCGGAUUUACUGGGCGUAAAGCGUGCGCAGGCGGCCCGUUAAGGCAGGUGUGAAAUCCCUGGGCUCAACCUAGGAAUUGCGCUUGUGACUGGCGGGCUCGAGUACGGUAGAGGGGGGUGGAAUUCCUGGUGUAGCAGUGAAAUGCGUAGAGAUCAGGAGGAACACCGAUGGCGAAGGCAGCCCCCUGGGCCUGUACUGACGCUCAUGCACGGAAGCGUGGGGAGCGAACAGGAUUAGAUACCCCCGUAGUCCCUGUCUCUUAUAC
RNAcentral lists this ribosomal RNA (301 nucleotides) under uncultured bacterium. RNAcentral's name for it is "partial 16S ribosomal RNA". It matches the Rfam family "Bacterial small subunit ribosomal RNA", at positions 509 to 807 of the family's 1533-position model. The record is from RNAcentral.